This is a long non-coding RNA of Equus quagga, 1076 nucleotides long. RefSeq lists it as uncharacterized. The record is from RefSeq and is a predicted model, not a curated record. The transcript has 3 exons. Lineage: Eukaryota; Metazoa; Chordata; Mammalia; Perissodactyla; Equidae.
ACGGAAGCAGAAUGUGCGAACUUAACCGCUGUGCCACCGGGCAGGCCCCUCUAGCUAAUUUUUAAAAAGGAACAUGUUGCAGUAUUCAGAGAGGCUGGAGAGAUGGCUCUGAUCUGUAACAUGUGGCUCCUUGGUGGACCCACAUGGGCUGGAACUUGGAACCUGGAAAAGCUGUAGGAGAUAGCUUUACAAAUGAAGGUGGAAUUUGAUUCAACUCUUCCAAGUUGCAAGUGGUGAAUCACCCGAUUUCCUAACUUCCAGUAACUGGAAUGAGACCAUCCGUUGCAUGGUUCUACUUUUGCACGGUGCCUGGCAUGGGACAGCUGCCGAGUCAAGUUGCUGAAUGGCUGCACCGUGAUGCUCAGUGGUGAGGACCACGUGGACCACGGGAGCAUCCUAAUCAUCCUGAAAAGAGCUGGCAACCUCUUUUUGCAUGUGUCGCUUUGCUGUUGAGGUAUGAAGUGCAACAAACAACCACUGUACCGUACCACUGGGAAUUUCUGAUCCAAAAUAAAUUGUAGUAACACACGGCGAUAUUGAUAGCAUGAAUGUGAGCCCAUAGAGCCUUGUUGCUCUGAGCACCCCGAAUGGGACCUGGCAGCAGAAGCAGGCUCAUCAACACUGGUGUAACAAAUGCACGCAGGGCAGAAGGGGGUGAACUCCAGAGACUCCGGCUGCAGAGACAGCCACCCGGCUUGUGCUGUUCCGCCGAGGGUGGAAGCAAUGGUGGCUGGACCUCCUGGGAGUUUACCGACCUGCUGUCACAUAGCAGUUUGCAAAGCUGGCAGUUCAGGCCAACCUUUGGAGGCUGGCUCACCGGAGCCCUCCAUCUCCCUUCAGGCCACCAGCCCCUUUCCUGCCUUCAUUCGCCCUGGGAUACAGUCGCCCUGCUGAGCUGUUACUCUGAUCUUUUCCAGUCCUUGAUACCGUUUUCCCCAACACUAAGACCUGACCCCAGCCCUCCCGGGUAUAAGGCAAGCUUCCGUUCCCUCAGAGCAGGGGUUGGCAAACGAUUUUCUUAAAGGGCCCAAUAGUAACAAUUUGACACUUUGUGGGCCAGAUGGUAUUGGCAAUUA